Molecule: ribosomal RNA, 369 nt
Filed under: Triticum aestivum (bread wheat)
Lineage: Eukaryota; Viridiplantae; Streptophyta; Magnoliopsida; Poales; Poaceae
Description: partial small subunit ribosomal RNA
Source: RNAcentral
AUGGCUUACUAACCUCGGCAGGUAACGGGCGGCGACGCCGGCCUGGACCACCUGCAGCGGCUCUUCCUGGACGCCGGCCGGGUCUCCGUGCUAGCCGGCUGCCUCGUGGUGACUUGUAACAUCUUCAACCCGGCUGCGAACCCCACACACGUCUUCCUCGGCUUCAUGCUGCUGCUCCUCGGCGUCUUCCUGCUCACGUUCUCGCCCGCCGCCUACCAGUUCCUCUGGGUUCCCCAGGUUGGCGCCUUCCUUGCAAAAGCCGUGGUGAGCCACCGGCUCCUAUUCUCUCUGCGUGAGAAUGUAAAUCUGCGACUUCCCGUCUGUAGUGUCACCGUCGUUCACUUUCAGUGUACCUGUAUUGGGAUGUGA